GUUUGACCGGCUGAGUCGACCCAAUUUUUAAAACAUUGAAUUCCGCAACUAUAAUUUUAUUAAAGUAAGUAAAUAGCUUAAAUUUUGAAGUCAAAAUAUUAUCAACUGAUUCAGAUUGAACAAAAUUUAAAAAUUAAAUAGCAAAAUCAAUAUUUUGGAAGGUUAAAUAGCUGAUUCAAAAUAGUCUAUAAUUCAGAUAAAUUAUCUAUGCUUUUACCUUGAUUAAUUACACAACUGAUCCUAACUCUAUCAUUUCAAUUAGCGAAUCAGCCCGAUUUAUAAGAACUAGAAGAAUUGCUCUUUAUUUUGUAUUUCAAUAAUUAAUUAAAUAUAUGUAUUAGUAUUUUAAUAAUUUGCAUUCUAAAUAUAUUUUAAAUAUAUUAUAAUAUUUAAAAAUAAUGUAGAAUGUUAUAGGUUAGAAUAUAUUCUUAUUAUGUAUAGUAU
Molecule: long non-coding RNA, 444 nt
Filed under: Ananas comosus (pineapple)
Lineage: Eukaryota; Viridiplantae; Streptophyta; Magnoliopsida; Poales; Bromeliaceae
Description: long non-coding RNA (ACOM_LNC020229)
Source: RNAcentral